UACAGAGGGGGCAAGCGUUGUUCGGAUUUAUUGGGCGUAAAGAGCGUGUAGGCGGCCAGGUAGGUCUGCUGUGAAAACUCGAGGCUUAACCUCGAGAUGUCGGCGGAAACCAUCUGGCUAGAGUCCGGAAGAGGAGAGUGGAAUUCCUGGUGUAGCGGUGAAAUGCGCAGAUAUCAGGAAGAACACCCGUGGCGAAGGCGGCUCUCUGGGACGGUACUGACGCUGAGACGCGAAAGCGUGGGGAGCGAACAGG
RNAcentral lists this ribosomal RNA (253 nucleotides) under uncultured bacterium. RNAcentral's name for it is "partial 16S ribosomal RNA". It matches the Rfam family "Bacterial small subunit ribosomal RNA", at positions 524 to 776 of the family's 1533-position model. The record is from RNAcentral.